Mytilus trossulus (common blue mussel) is the source of this 6619-nucleotide RNA transcript. It is a transcript of the gene named ceramide glucosyltransferase-like, with no coding region annotated. The record is from RefSeq and is a predicted model, not a curated record. Lineage: Eukaryota; Metazoa; Mollusca; Bivalvia; Mytilida; Mytilidae. The transcript is spliced from 10 exons.
UUCGUUGUGCAUUUCCUCUUUAAACAGACGGGGUUAACAUCUAUCGUCAAAAUGAACUUAAUAUGAGCGUAGAGCAAUAUUUUGCUGUAGGAUUAGCCAUUGCUAUUGUAGGAGGAUGGCUUUUCGAUUGGCUUAUGCACACAGUAGCUAUUAUUUAUGGAAUCCGACGUUUACAUCGACAACUACCUACACCUUCCCCGGAAGACCUCCCGGGAGUAUCUAUCAUUAAGCCUCUUGUUGGUGUUGAUCCUCAUCUGUAUGCAAACUUAGAAUCUUUCUUCAAAUUACAAUAUCCCAACUUUGAAAUUUUAUUUUGUGUGCAAGAAGAAAGUGACCCUGCCAUAAUGAUUGUUCAGAAAUUGAUGGAACUUUAUCCUAAAGUAGACGCUAAAUUAUUUAUAGGAAUUAAAUACAUUUGUCCAAACGGAAAAAUUAACAACAUGAUCAAAGCAUACGAAGCAGCGAAGAAUGAAAAUCUAUUGAUCUCAGACAGUUGUAUCAAAAUGAAUGAGAAUACUUUAAUGGAGAUGGUUUGCUGUCUGAAACCUGAUGUUGGAAUGGUUGUCCAGAUGCCAUUCUUUGAAAAUCGUCCAAAACUUGGAUUUGCCAGUGUUUAUGAAAAGGUUUACUUUGCAACUUUCAAUGCCAGAAGUACACUUGGUGGUUUUGCUACAGGAAUAAACGCCUGUACUGGAAUGUCCUGUUUAUUUCGGAGAGAACCUGUUGACAAAGCUGGUGGGUUAGCUCCCUUAGGACAAUAUCUCUCUGAAGAUUAUAUUCUUAAUCACACUAUUACACAAGCUGGUUACAAAUCAGUACUCUGUACCUCAACAGCUCAACAAAAUAGUGGUUAUUCAUCAGUAGGCACUUUCCAUAAAAGAAUAAUCAGGUGGUCUCAAUUAAGGAUUGCUCUCUUGCCACACCUGAUUAUUUUAGAGCCGUUGUCAGAAUGUAUGCUGAUGGGUGCUUGUGCCUCAUGGGCUAUAGAAUACUUGUUUGGAAUAAGUUCCAUGGGCGUGUUUUUAAUGCAUAUUUUAUUAUGGUUUUUGUUAGAUUAUACACUGUUGAGAGUAGUAGAGAAUGGUCCUUUACCUUUUUCCAAAUUUGAAUUUGUGGUAGCCUGGCUGAUGAGAGAGACAUUAGCUUUAUUCCUAACUUUACAAUCUCACAGAAACACUAUUGUCAAAUGGAGACAUAAACAAUACAAACUCAACUGGGGCGGAAAGAUCGAAGAAGUUUAGUCGUAUUUACAAUUGUAAUCCAGUCAUCACAAGUCACAUGGGGCUCGCCAUGUCAUCAAAGUUCAUUCAUAAGCACUAAGGAAACGGAAUAUAUAACAGUGCUAGAAAUCGUCUUUUUUAUAUUUAGUGUAUUCAGUCCUACGCUCAAUUCAGUUAUGCGUUUGAUAUAAUUGGGUACUAUGUGAAAGCAUGAGCAUCAAGAUGACAGUGAUCAAGAAAUAAUAUGAUGAAUUGUCGAGCAAGUAAUUGCUCCUUUACAUGUAAUUAUUAGUGAUGCAUGCUUGAAGUAGUCUAUUAAUAAUGAAUUGCUUUAAAUUCUGUAAGAUUCAUAAAAAUGAAUAUUGCUAUAGUGUGUGUUUGUUAUUGCUCUACCAAAUUGAUAUUCAGUUCUUUCUUCUUUUUUUUUGUCAAAGCAUAAUUUGUAAGAGUUUAGGUGACAUAAAUUUUGAUUUUUCUGAAAAGCAUAUUUUAAGAUAGCUUUUUAAAAAAAAAUAUAAAUAUGAAAAUUUAUCAUGUGAAACAAUACUAACAAAUUUAUAAGAGUAUGCUGCCAAUUUUUAUUGAAGUUUUUUAAAAGUAGAAAAUAUUUGGGUGAACUUGACCACCUCUAUGAUUUAGGAAAAGGCAUAAAUCUUUCUAUAUCUAUAAACUUUAAUUUCAUAUGAUGAACAACUGUAUUAAAUUGGAAAUAUUUUUUUUGUUUACACAUGGGAAAAUCCUAAAAAUGUAACAUUAGUUUGGUACAGCUUAACAAGUUGUUGGUUAUGGUUUAACAGUAUUGUGUGCUAUCUAUACCAGGUGCUCUUUGUUGUCACAGCGUAAACUGUUAUGUGUGCUUCUUUAACUGCCAAAUUAUUAUCAUCAUUUAAUUUUUAUAGUAUAAUAUAUGUCAGAUUUGAUCUGUAAUUUGUAGACCAUUUGUGUCAUUUUUAAAGUACUGUAAAUUUUUAGAUCUUUAUUAGGCUCUAGUCAAACAGAAACCUGAAUUCUGAUAUAAUACAUUCUUUCUUCUUCAUAGCUUUAAGUUUACAAUUUUGAUCAGAUUGUGUUAUGUUUUUAACGAUGCAAAUAAAAUCAGAAAAAAAAUAUUUUACAGGGUAAAUUUUUCAACAUUUUAGCAUCUUUCUGCAAAUAAAAAAGGGUACAACAAUGUUUUUAUCAUAAUGAAGGUCAUUUAUUUAUCUGAAAAGAUUUUUUUUGAAAUUCCUUAUUACAUGUGUAUUUUAAGGGUCGUGCAUGUUAAUAACACCAGGAUCAUUUUACCUUUUUGAUGUUUUCUGGGUUUUUUAAAUUUUUUAUGCAGUUUAAUUUGAGUUAUUGCAAAAUGCAGUAGAAAAUACUACGCAUUAUAGAAAAAAAAAGUUUACAAUUUUUACAAUUCAGUGUCUUGUAUUUUUUAAAAUUUCCAGAAGUAUUCAAUUUUGUUGUUAGAUUGUAGUGUUACAGAAACUCAUGGAAAGCCUUGAGUCAAAUUGCCAUGCAACUUUCCCAGUGUUCAAUUGUUUUCUUGCCAGUCUCAAAGUUUUACAAUAGAAUAUGUUUAAAGAGAUAUAUAUAUGUAUGUUAUAGUCUGUUAAGGAUAUGUUAAGGAAGAUAAUUUUAUUAUUGUAUGGUUUCAAGUCAAGUUUAUUAUAUGUACAAUUUGUAUUGCAAUUUUAUUGCAUGGAUUUUAUGAAAUUUAACUGUAAAUUUGAUUGGAUUUUAUGACUUUCUGAGCUAGGAAUGAUCACUUGCCUGUCUGAUCACAGAUUAAAUAAUGAGGUCACUCCGUGAUAUGACGACAGCUCUCAGAUCUGAUCCACCUGCCUUUUUUCCGAUGUUCAGUAAAUGUUCAAUGACGAAAUAAGACCAGGUUGAAAUUAAACCUCAUGUUAAAACAAUGCAAUUUUGUGGUUAAUUUGUUCAUUUGUCUUGUUGUUUUUAUAUGCAAAAUGUUAUAAAUAUGUUUAUGCGCAGGAUUCAUAAAAAGGCAUGUGAGAGCUAUUUUAUUAACAUGAAUAUGAGAGGGUAGGAAUAUACAAGUUCUGUUUUUGGACAUGGGGUCGUGGGUCGUUUGUUGUGGAGUUUCCAUAUCAGCUUUGAUUAUAUUGAAAAUUAAGAUUAGUUUGCUUGUUUGUCAUGUUUGUUAUGGGGAAUAUGGAAGUCCUGUCGUACCCUCCCACAGUCAUUUUAAAUGAAAUAUCGCUAAGUAUUUUGUUGAUAUAGUGCUUGUGUUUCUGCUGUAUAUAAUUGUGUAUGCGUGAAAAUCAAAACAAAAAAAGAAAUCAGCUAUUACCAUAGAUUUUAAAACAUUUUAUUAUCAUAAUUUUUAUUAUUAUUUGAUUUUAAUGAAUUUUUGAAAUGUAGAAAAAUUCAUAACUGAGUUGAUUAUUUUUAAUAAUUGGCAAUGAAGCAGAAUUUUAUCAUAAUAAGUUAUUAAUCAUUACUUAUAUACAUAUUAAUUUAUGUAAAGGAAAAUAAUACAGAGUUAAUUGUACAAUAAUUAACAUUGAAGUGUCAUUUCGAUUUACAUAAUUUAAAAUCGAAUUUUCAUCAGUUAUUCACACGAAAUACAUACAUAUUCAUCAGUUACUUUCAACUCUUGAAUAUUCAUCAGUUAAUCACUCUAAAUACAUACAUAUUCAUCAGUUACUUUCAACUCAUGAAUAUUCAUCAGUUACUUCACCAAUUGAAUAUUCAUGAAUUUAUCACUCUAUGUACAGACAUAUGCAUCAGCUACUUAACCAAAGGAAUAUUCAUCAAUAAAUCAUCCUUAAUACAUAUACAUUGAUCAAUUAGUUCAAUCAGAUGAAUUUUAAUCAAUUUUUCAUUUAAAUGAAUACUAGUUUUUCACAAUUUGUGUUGUGGAAUUUCAUUAUACUGUUGUUUGUGUGAAUCCUGUCUAAUGUUUUGUUUUAUUGUGUUUUUAGUUGCAGCAUUUUAAUGGUAUCUCCUCUAUAAAUGGAAUAUUUUCCUAUGUUGUUCUUUGUCAAUAAAUGUAAUUUUUAUUCAAAUAAUGUUAUUCAGUCUCCUUAUUAAUAUGCUUACAUGAUUAGAAUUUGCUAGAGUAAUGUGAAUUUGAGAUUUAUAUAAAAGAGUUAUUGCAUGAAUAUUGUCCCCAUUAGAACUUUGUAUUGCUUGAGCUUGCGAGUGCAAUAUAUGUUCUACUCUGGACAAUAUUCCCCAAUAUUCACCUAAUAACCCUUUAAUUGCAUAGCAAUAUAAUAUUUGAAAGUACAAAUUUGUUCAAACUAAGAUUUUGUUGUUGAUGCAUCAUGAAUUUUUUGAAGAUUUUUUGCACUAGUGCAAUAUUAGAAUUUAUUGCCUGCUAACUUUUGGUUACAUUCUGUGGGGAAUGUUAUAUUGCUAUACAGAAAUAUAAAUAAUGAUGUGGUGGUUUGAUUAUAAUUAUUGCAUUUUCAUUUCAAAGUUUUAAUCCUAGGUAAAAGAAGAUUUAUAUUUCACUAAUAUUCAAAGAUCAAAGAAAGAUGUUAUGUUGUAAAGGAAUUUUUAAUACAGAAAUAAUUAAUCAAGGAUUGUAUAAACUAUAAUAAUGGGACUGAAUGCAUAUUUAAAUACUAAAAACUCAUGUUAUUACCUUGGAUACAGAUAGUUACAUUAAGAUUCUCCCAAAGCUCGCAUUUUUUUUUUCAUUCGAAAAAAAUGUUACUAAUAAUACAAACAAUAAUUUCUGAAUUUAUAGUAAUUUGGUUAACAGUAAGGUUAGGAUAGAGAAAUAUAAACAUAAAUUAUAACUUAUAUUCAUAGGACAAUUUGACUUUAAUUUAAAAACAUUUUGAAUGGUUAACUGUUAAACAAUUGGUAUCCAACCAAUGACAUACCAACAAUGAAUUUACACAUUAUAAUUUAGAUUGUAAAACAUUUAUUUGUGACCAUUAAUCUAAAUGAUAAAUAUAUAUUCAAAUUAUUGAUAUUGCUGAAUAAUAAGAGUCUUGCAAUAAAAGGGCCUUUGUUUUAAUCUGUUAAAUUUCCUCCAACACAUACCAGAGUUAAGAGUUUUUCUCACAUAUGAUAAGUUCUAUUUGAAUUUUUGUUAAAAUCCUUUAAACAUUCAUAAGAUAUUCAAACCUUUAAAAACUUGUUUUAUAAUAUUUCAUUAACAAUUUUUUUAUUAUGUCGUUUUUAACAAGAAUAAAAAGGGAUAAGGGGAGGGGGAUUUAUAACAAAUACUUUUUUACUAUUUCACAAUAAUGGUUAGGUUGUAAAAUUGAGGUCAGGCACAAUAUAUAAAAAAAACAUUAACGAAAGGAGAAUUAUUUCACAGAAUUAGAAAAGUCGGUAAAAUUAAUGCCUUUAGGUAAUAAUACACUUUAAGGUGUAAUUAUUUCCCCACUUAACCUUGUCCAUAUAUGGUUGUAGGGGUAUAAGGAUGGACAAAAUAUUUUGCUUGUCCAUGGUACCAAUGCUAUGGAGUGUACAUGAAUGUACAACCUAUUGUGGAUGGGUAAACAAAAGCCCUUAUCCUUAUUAGAUUGUGUGCACAUCUGCUUAACUGGUUGUGAAUUAGGUUCCUCAAUACUAGAUUCUAAAUAAGAUAUUCCAUAAAUAAUUAAUUAUAGGAAAAGGACUUUUAAAUAUAUUUUUGUUGAAAAUGGGGUAUUUUUAUUGGCCUCCAAAUUUAGGUGCUAAAGAGUUAAGCAAUUUAUAUGUUGUGCAUGUUGAUUGAUAAAGUUGGUUACUUCUGUCGAACCCUUGUUUUAUUAUUUAAAUAGUUGUUAAUUGUUUGCCAGAUAUAAUAACAUUGAAUAAUUUGCCAGUUUUAAUUUUAUUAUUAUAGAAGUACUUUAUUCAAGUUAUUUACUGAUCAUGAUAUUGAUUAAUUGGAGAUAGGAUUUUGUAUUAAGUUCAGGAUUAAUUGCAUAUUGUAUUGUAUAAAUUUCAGGAUUAAUAGACAAAUCAUAUAAUAUUUAUUCGAUAAUUGUAAAACAAAAUGAACGGAAUGGAUUUGUUGUAAAAUGUUGUCUAUAUUCAUAUCUUUGUACUAAAAAAUGCCAAUUUUAUAUUGUAAACAGUGAAAAGAUGAUCAGUUUAAGAAAAUGAGGUAAAAAAAAGUGUUCAUCCUUUUUAAUUUUGUGAUAAAAAAAUAAACCAAUACAUAUACAGUGGCAAUGUCAUUUUCAGAGGCAAUGACAAUUUGGUUGACAUGUUUCCAUAUUGAUAUCAAUGACUUUGUAUCUGUAUUAGUCACAGUAUAAAGGACAGUAUCCAAGUAGACAAAUCAAAAUUGAGCCUCGAGUCAAAAGUAAAAGUGACACUGAAUUAAUAUGAUGAAUUUGCUCUCGCCACAGAGAAAAUUAUGAUUAUCUCCCCUAUAUUGAUAUGUUUGAUCAAAAUAUUGUGUGAUUUUAUUGUUUUCAAUAAAGUAUGAACAAGCUUCA